UGGAAGGCAGAGGCAGAGAGACACUGACUGCUGCCGCCAUGACAAGAAGAAUGUGAAGACACCGGUGAGCCACCAGCCAUAUGGCAAGGUAGAGAUUUAUGGAAAUGGAUUAAUUUAAGCUAUAAGAACAAUUAGCAAGAAGUCUGCCACAGCCAUACAGUUUGUAUGCAA
Non-coding RNA from Peromyscus maniculatus bairdii (prairie deer mouse), 171 nucleotides. Lineage: Eukaryota; Metazoa; Chordata; Mammalia; Rodentia; Cricetidae. The record is from RefSeq and is a predicted model, not a curated record.